This 465-nucleotide ribosomal RNA is filed under the name uncultured bacterium. Its description in RNAcentral is "partial 16S ribosomal RNA". It matches the Rfam family "Bacterial small subunit ribosomal RNA", at positions 28 to 507 of the family's 1533-position model. The record is from RNAcentral.
GAUGAACGCUGGCGGCGUGCUUAACACAUGCAAGUCGAACGGAAAGGCUCCUGCUUGCAGGGGUACUCGAGUGGCGAACGGGUGAGUAACACGUGGGUGAUCUGCCCUGCACUUCGGGAUAAGCCUGGGAAACUGGGUCUAAUACCGGAUAGGACGAUGGGUUGGAUGCCAUUGUGGAAAGUUUUUCGGUGUGGGAUGAGCUCGCGGCCUAUCAGCUUGUUGGUGGGGUAAUGGCCUACCAAGGCGUCGACGGGUAGCCGGCCUGAGAGGGUGUACGGCCACAUUGGGACUGAGAUACGGCCCAGACUCCUACGGGAGGCAGCAGUGGGGAAUAUUGCACAAUGGGCGCAAGCCUGAUGCAGCGACGCCGCGUGGGGGAUGACGGCCUUCGGGUUGUAAACUCCUUUCGCUAGGAACGAAGCGCAAGUGACGGUACCUGGAGAAGAAGCACCGGCUAACUACGUG